GGAAGGAUCAUUAACACUAAUCCACUCACCUUAACCAAGCCAUCAGUGCAGUAAUAGUGCCAGCCAGUAACUCGGCAGGCAUUGUUACCGCUCUACAAAACUAAUACCAAAGGAGCCUAACUAAGCUCAACCAAUAAAUCCAAAUUCUCAACGAUGGAUAUCUUGGUUCCCAUAACGAUGAAGAACGCAGCGAAGUGCGAUAAGCAAUGCGAAUUGCAGAACCGUGAGUCAUCAGAUUUUUGAACGCAACUGGCGCCGAUUGGCUAUCCAGUCGGCAUGCUUGUUUCAGUGUCUUAUUUUCUCCUCACCCAAAUCUUAAUGCGCGAGAUACCCUUCUCACGCCAAGUACGAAAGCACUCUGAGCCCUGCAAGUGACUUGGCUUCGGUCGAGGUCACACUCAAUGCAGCAGUCACAUUUCUCACAAUGUGAACUCAUUGAGAGCGGAGUCAGCGCAGCUUGUCUGCAAGUGCUUAGAGCACCAAACUCUAUCUGUAUCUGAAAUCAAGCAGGACCACCCGCUGAACUUAAGCAUAUCACUAAGCGGAGGAAAAGAAAUUAACUAAGAUUGCCCCAGUAACGGCGAGUGAAGCGGCAAAAGCCCAAAGUGGAAAUCUCCGUUCUUCGAACGGCGAAUUGUAAUCUAUAGGAGGAAAGCUCACCUGGUUGUGGCGCAUAAGUGUCUUAGAACGGACCGCCAAAGAGGGUGACAGCCCCGUAUUUGGUGCCGCGACCUAACGAGCUUCUUUCAAAGAGUCGGGUAGCUUUGAAUUGCUGCCCUAAGCUGGGAGAUAGACUUCUUCUAAGGCUAAAUAUUUAUGGGAAACCGAUAGCGAACAAGUACUGUGAAGGAAAGAUGAAAAGAACUUUGAAAAGAGAGUCAAAAGACUUGAAAUCGUUGAGAAGGAAGCGGUAGAAAUUUAUUCUACUGGUAGGUACAAAGGCAUGCUCCUAACCAUCGGCGGACGGCUGCACUUCAUAGGCAGUCGCUGACGCUUGGGGAAGAGCUAGCUGGGUACCUGCCGUGAGGCAAGAUGGGGUGCCGUCCUGUCAUAAGCUGGUUGGACCUGGGCCUUUUCGGAGGUCAGUCCAGCUGUGUUCGACAGGCGAACGCCCGAGGAAGCUUUGUGCGAUCUUGCCAAAAUGGUUUUUACCGACCCGUCUUGAAACACGGACCAAGGAGUCUAACAAAUAUGCGAGUGUGCUGGCGCAAAAACCAACACGCGUAAUGAAAGUGAUUGAUGCCACUACAACUGCAGCAUCAACCGACCAUGCUCCUCUGGAAAAAGGUUUGAGUAUGAGCAUAUCUGUUAGGACCCGAAAGAUGGUGAACUAUGCCUGGGUAGGGUGAAGCCAGGGGAAACUCUGGUGGAGGCUCGUAGCGGUUCUGACGUGCAAAUCGAUCGUCAAACUUGGGUAUAGGGGCGAAAGACUAAUCGAACCAUCUAGUAGCUGGUUCCCUC
Molecule: unclassified non-coding RNA, 1461 nt
Filed under: uncultured Sporadotrichida
Lineage: Eukaryota; Ciliophora; Spirotrichea; Sporadotrichida
Description: sequence contains 18S rRNA gene, ITS1, 5.8S rRNA gene, ITS2, 28S rRNA gene
Rfam family: Eukaryotic large subunit ribosomal RNA (bases 493-1461)
Source: RNAcentral